AUCAUGGCUCAGAUUGAACGCUGGCGGCAGGCCUAACACAUGCAAGUCGAGCGGUAACAUUUCAAAAGCUUGCUUUUGAAGAUGACGAGCGGCGGACGGGUGAGUAAUGCCUGGGAAUAUGCCUUGAUGUGGGGGAUAACCAUUGGAAACGAUGGCUAAUACCGCAUAAUGCCUACGGGCCAAAGAGGGGGAUCUUCGGACCUCUCGCGUCAAGAUUAGCCCAGGUGGGAUUAGCUAGUUGGUGAGGUAAUGGCUCACCAAGGCGACGAUCCCUAGCUGGUCUGAGAGGAUGAUCAGCCACACUGGAACUGAGACACGGUCCAGACUCCUACGGGAGGCAGCAGUGGGGAAUAUUGCACAAUGGGCGCAAGCCUGAUGCAGCCAUGCCGCGUGUGUGAAGAAGGCCUUCGGGUUGUAAAGCACUUUCAGUCGUGAGGAAGGUGGUAGUGUUAAUAGCACUAUCAUUUGACGUUAGCGACAGAAGAAGCACCGGCUAACUCCGUGCCAGCAGCCGCGGUAAUACGGAGGGUGCGAGCGUUAAUCGGAAUUACUGGGCGUAAAGCGCAUGCAGGUGGUUUGUUAAGUCAGAUGUGAAAGCCCGGGGCUCAACCUCGGAAUUGCAUUUGAAACUGGCAGACUAGAGUACUGUAGAGGGGGGUAGAAUUUCAGGUGUAGCGGUGAAAUGCGUAGAGAUCUGAAGGAAUACCGGUGGCGAAGGCGGCCCCCUGGACAGAUACUGACACUCAGAUGCGAAAGCGUGGGGAGCAAACAGGAUUAGAUACCCUGGUAGUCCACGCCGUAAACGAUGUCUACUUGGAGGUUGUGGCCUUGAGCCGUGGCUUUCGGAGCUAACGCGUUAAGUAGACCGCCUGGGGAGUACGGUCGCAAGAUUAAAACUCAAAUGAAUUGACGGGGGCCCGCACAAGCGGUGGAGCAUGUGGUUUAAUUCGAUGCAACGCGAAGAACCUUACCUACUCUUGACAUCCAGAGAAGCCAGCGGAGACGCAGGUGUGCCUUCGGGAACUCUGAGACAGGUGCUGCAUGGCUGUCGUCAGCUCGUGUUGUGAAAUGUUGGGUUAAGUCCCGCAACGAGCGCAACCCUUAUCCUUGUUUGCCAGCGAGUAAUGUCGGGAACUCCAGGGAGACUGCCGGUGAUAAACCGGAGGAAGGUGGGGACGACGUCAAGUCAUCAUGGCCCUUACGAGUAGGGCUACACACGUGCUACAAUGGCGCAUACAGAGGGCUGCCAACCAGCGAUGGUGAGCGAAUCCCAAAAAGUGCGUCGUAGUCCGGAUUGGAGUCUGCAACUCGACUCCAUGAAGUCGGAAUCGCUAGUAAUCGUGGAUCAGAAUGCCACGGUGAAUACGUUCCCGGGCCUUGUACACACCGCCCGUCACACCAUGGGAGUGGGCUGCAAAAGAAGUGGGUAGUUUAACCUUUCGAGGAGGACGCUCACCACUUUGUGGUUCAUGACUGGGGUGAAGUCGUAACAAGGUAACCGUA
Molecule: ribosomal RNA, 1503 nt
Filed under: Vibrio sp. V170
Lineage: Bacteria; Pseudomonadati; Pseudomonadota; Gammaproteobacteria; Vibrionales; Vibrionaceae
Description: 16S ribosomal RNA
Rfam family: Bacterial small subunit ribosomal RNA
Source: RNAcentral